RNAcentral lists this ribosomal RNA (468 nucleotides) under uncultured bacterium. RNAcentral describes it as "partial 16S ribosomal RNA". It matches the Rfam family "Bacterial small subunit ribosomal RNA", at positions 28 to 507 of the family's 1533-position model. The record is from RNAcentral.
GACGAACGCUGGCGGCGUGCUUAACACAUGCGAGUCGAACGGAAAGGCCCUGCUUUUGUGGGGUGCUCGAGUGGCGAACGGGUGAGUAACACGUGAGUAACCUGCCCUUGACUUUGGGAUAACUUCAGGAAACUGGGGCUAAUACCGGAUAGGAGCUCCUGCUGCAUGGUGGGGGUUGGAAAGUUUCGGCGGUUGGGGAUGGACUCGCGGCUUAUCAGCUUGUUAGUGGGGUAGUGGCUUACCAAGGCUUUGACGGGUAGCCGGCCUGAGAGGGUGACCGGCCACAUUGGGACUGAGAUACGGCCCAGACUCCUACGGGAGGCAGCAGUGGGGAAUAUUGCACAAUGGGCGGAAGCCUGAUGCAGCAACGCCGCGUGCGGGAUGACGGCCUUCGGGUUGUAAACCGCUUUCGCCUGUGACGAAGCGUGAGUGACGGUAAUGGGUAAAGAAGCACCGGCUAACUACGUG